This 5416-nucleotide long non-coding RNA is filed under the name Medicago truncatula (barrel medic). Its description in RNAcentral is "long non-coding RNA (MTRU_LNC002721)". The record is from RNAcentral. Lineage: Eukaryota; Viridiplantae; Streptophyta; Magnoliopsida; Fabales; Fabaceae.
AAGCAUUAAAUCCAACAGAAAAUUGAGACUUACCAAGUGGAAGUGGAGAAAGAGAUGUACUUGAGUAUGCCAAAGACGUACAUGUUGGUUUAUCCAAUUCCUUAAGAAAAGAUCUUACAUACCUUUUUUAUUUCAUCUUGACUGAAGGGUUGAAUCAAUCAUCCUUGUGACAUAUCGAUUGGUGUCUUACCAAAGAGAACAAAUAACCAAAAUUAAAAAGUUUCUGAUGUUUUCAGUAACACACUAUGAACAGUGAACUCGGACUGAACAAUGUUUUCAGUAUCUCAAAGAGGACGCGAUGAAGGCGGAGACUCACAAUAAAUCGCAAUGAAGGCGUAAUAGAGUAUAUUGUAAAGUCUAGAUAUACUAGUUCUAUCAAGUUAGUGUAGUUAUAGAAGAAGUAACAAACUGUGCUGAUGUGACAAGUUUGUUACUGAUUCAUUUCAUUCCUUGCUAUACUAUAUAAGGCUAGCUCUCUGAUGUAACAAAUAUCAAUGAAUCAUAAUGAAACACUGAAAAGCUUAGAAGCAAUAUCUCUCUCAUACUUUUCUAAUAUGGUAUCACGAUCCUUCACGGUCCUUGACCUUCAAGCUUCUGCAUAAGCGCUUUCUUCAACCUUGAGCUUCGUUUUUCUCUUCAAUGGCGUCUUCACCGACACAAAACGAAUCUGAGCAUAACAACUCUACUGAUUCUGUUAUUCUUCCAGUUACUACCAAAGAUUCAACUAGAUCUGGAUUAACGCAUUCUCUCACAAUCAAGCUUGAUGAGAAGAACUUUCUGCUUUGGAGCCAGCAAGUUAAUGGCGUCAUUACGGCGCACGAUCUUCAUCGUUUCGUUCUCGAUCCAAAGAUUCCACUGCAAUUCGCAUCUGAGAGCGAUCGCCUUCAAAACAAGAUCUCCGACGAAUAUCGCAAGUGGUUAACGAAAGAUCAGGUCCUAUUCACAUGGCUUCUUUCUACGAUCUCUGAUGAAGUUCUCCCUCGCGUUCUUGGUUGCAAACAUGCGUUUCAGGUUUGGGAUAAAAUUCAUAAAUUCUUCAAUUCUUUUCUCAAAGCAAAAGCACGUCAAUUACGAUCUGAAUUGAAGAACACUAAGAAAUUAGGUCGAUCUAUUAAUGAAUUUCUACUCCGCAUCAAAAUGAUUGUUAAUUCUUUGAUUGCAAUUGGUGAUGUUGUUUCGGAUCAAGAACACAUAAAUGCUAUUGUUGAUGGAUUACUAGAAGAGUACAAUUCCUUUGUUCUUGUGAUCUAUAGUCGUCUCGAUUCACCUUCCAUUGAAGAGGUUGAAUCCAUUCUAAUGAUGCAAGAGGCACAAUUUGAGAAGUAUCGUCAAGAAUUAACAAACCCUAGCGUUUCCGCUAAUCUUGCUCAAUCUGAAUUACCUUCUAAACCGGGAAAUUCAGAAUCUCAAGAAGUUGGAACUGAGUAUUACAAUGCUGGACGCGGUCGUGGUAGAGGACGCGGCCGUGGAAGAGGAAGGGGCCGAUCGAAUUCGAAUCGUCUUCAGUGUCAAAUUUGUGCUAGAAACAACCAUGAUGCUGCUCGCUGCUGUUUUCGUUAUGAUCAAGCUAGUUCUUCUCAGGCACAUCACAGAGCUCCUCCCUUCAAUUCUCACAUGCGUCCAAUGGCCAAUUUUGCUAUGCAAGGGUUUCAGGCUCCUCCCUCUGAAUAUGCUGCUUCUUCCUCAUACUCUGAAGCUCCCUGGUAUCCGGAUUCUGGAGCAUCUCAUCAUCUCACCUUCAAUCCUCAUAACCUUGCUUAUCGCACCCCCUACAAUGGUCAGGAACAGGUGUUGAUGGAUAAUGGUCAAGGUGUGUCAAUUCAAUCCUUAGGUUAUUCUUCAUUUACUGCUCCUUUCAAUUCCAAUGUCAAACUGUCUUUAAAUGAUCUCUUGCAUGUCCCAAAUAUCUCUAAAAAUCUCCUAUCUGUCAGUAAAUUUGCACAAGAUAAUAAUGUCAUCUUUGAGUUUCAUCCUUACAAGUGCUUUGUUAAAUCUCAGGAUUCUAAGCAAAUUCUUCUUGAAGGCGUGGUUGGCUCAGAUGGACUAUAUCAGUUCAAGCCUCUGCAGUUUCUGCCUUCAAUGUCUAAAUCUCUUUCCUAUUGCAAUAAUGCUACAAUUUCUUCUGUUGUAUGCAAUUCUAGUAGUUCUUCUAAUGAUAGUUUCAAUAAAUGGCAUUGUCGACUAGGUCAUGCUAAUCCUAAUGUUGUUAAGUCCAUUUUAAACUUGUGCAAAAUACCAUUUCAGAAUAAGCAUGUUUUAGAUUUUUGUGUUGCUUGUAGUGUUGGAAAAUCUCAUAAACUUCAUGCUCCUUUGUCUAAUACCACUUAUACUAAACCUUUUGAGGUUGUGCAUUGUGACCUAUGGGGUCCUUCUCCUUUUACUUCUCACUAUGGCUAUAACUACUACAUUUCAUUUGUCGACACUUUCACCAAAUACACUUGGAUAUAUUUUUUGAAAAAUAAAUCUGAUGCUAUUCAAGCUUUCAAAUUGUUUUAUCAACUGAUACAGAAUCAGUUUCAAACCUCUCUUAAGGCUCUUCAAUCUGAUUGGGGUGGGGAAUUCAGGCCGUUUACAAAUUUACUCAAUAGCCUUGGCAUCAUACAUAGGUUAACUUGUCCACAUACCUCUCAUCAAAAUGGUACAGUUGAGCGCAAACACAGACAAAUCGUUGAAAUGGGACUCACUUUACUGUCUCAUGCUUCUAUCCCUCUUAAGUUUUGGGACCACAAUUUUACUCAAGCUGUUUCUCUCAUCAAUAAGCUUCCCUCAUCUGCCAUACCCCAAUUCUAUUCUCCUCACCAUGCACUAUUUCAUAUUAUUCCUGACUAUACUAAUCUCAAAGUGUUUGGCUGUCAGUGCUUCCCUCAUCUUAGACCUUUUAAUAAGCACAAAUUUCAAUUCAGGUCUAGUCCAUGUGUCUAUCUAGGUAUGUCUCCUCAACACAAAGGUCACAAAUGUCUAGAUGCUUCUGGUAGAGUGUAUAUCUCCAAGGAUGUCGUGUUUAAUGAAUCUGUGUUUCCAUAUGCAUCCAUGUUUCCUCACUCAUCAUCUCCCAUAUCUACUACAUCUCAAUAUUAUCCUGCUACUAUAUGUUUAGAUGAUGAUAGUGAUACUGCCCCUAUUAUACCUGAACCAUCUCCAACAUCCCCUAAUACCAUAACAUCUCCUUCUACCUCAUCUCAAUCUGCCUUACAACCUUCUUCUCCAAUAAAUAAUAGCUCUCAGCAGGAACCUCCAGCACACAAUUCCUCCCUUCCCCAUGCACAUAUUCCUCCUAAGAAAUAUCUUCCUCACCCCAUGAUCACAAGAACCAAAACUGGAAAAUUAAAACCAAAAGUGUUUCUCACUGAACUUGCCCCCAAGACUGUGAAAACUACUCUAUCUGAUCCCAGGUGGCUGCAAGCUAUGAAAACUGAGUACAAAGCUUUGAUUGAUAACAAAACAUGGGAUCUUGUUCCUCUUCCUCCACACAAGAAAGCUAUUGGCUGCAAGUGGGUUUAUAGAGUUAAAGAAAACCCAGAUGGAUCUGUUAACAAAUUUAAAGCCAGAUUAGUGGCUAAGGGUUUCAGUCAAACACUUGGAUGUGAUUACACUGAAACUUUCUCUCCUGUAAUAAAACCUGUCACUAUCAGGCUCAUUCUCACCAUUGCUAUCACUUAUAAAUGGGAAAUUCAACAAAUUGAUAUCAACAAUGCCUUUUUGAAUGGUUUUCUUCAAGAGGAAGUGUAUAUGUCUCAACCUCAGGGAUUUGAAGCUGCUAAUAAAUCUCUGGUGUGCAAGCUGAACAAAUCACUCUAUGGCUUAAAGCAAGCACCACGUGCAUGGUAUGAGAGGCUAACCAGUGCACAAAUUCAGUUUGGUUUCACUAAAAGUCGUUGUGAUCCAUCAUUACUUAUCUACAAUCAAAAUGGAGCUUGCAUCUAUCUGUUAAUAUAUGUGGAUGACAUUCUCAUCACUGGUUCCUCUGCAUCUCAAGUGCAUGAGCUCAUUCAAAAACUUAAUCACAUAUUUGCUCUUAAGCAACUUGGGAAACUUGAUUACUUCUUAGGCAUUGAGGUUCAAUAUUUGUCAUCAGGGGCACUGUUACUUACUCAGUCCAAGUACAUUCAUGAUUUACUAUGUAAAGCUGACAUGGAAAACUCUAACUCAAUUGGCUCUCCAAUGGUUAGUAGCUGCAGACUGAGCAAAUUUGGUACUGACUCUAUGUCUGAUGCCACACUUUAUAGGUCCAUUGUUGGUGCCUUGCAGUAUGCUACUUUGACCAGACCUGACAUAGCUUUUAGUGUCAACAAGGUUUCUCAAUUUAUGGCAAAUCCAUUAGAAUCUCAUUGGACAGCUGUCAAACGGAUUCUACGGUAUCUGAAGGGGACACUUGAUCAUGGUCUGCUCAUACAUCCCUCUCAAACUGGUCCUCCUUUUUCAUUAAGAGCCUACAGUGACUCUGACUGGGCUACUGAUCAGGAUGACAGAAAAUCUGUCUCUGGUUCCUGCAUAUAUUUUGGGCCAAAUCUCAUAUCAUGGAGCUCUAAAAAGCAGCAAGUUGUUGCAAGAUCCAGUACUGAAGCAGAAUAUAGAAGCAUGGCACACACAACUACUGAAUUACUCUGGAUACAGUCUCUUUUACAAGAACUCAGAGUUCCUUUUUGCACUCCUACACUCCUGUGUGAUAAUCUAAGUGCUGUUGCUCUCACACAUAACCCCAUCCUUCAUUCUAGGACUAAACACAUUGAGCUAGACAUCCAUUUUGUGCAAGAAAGCGUCAUCUCUAAGCAACUUCAAGUUCUUCAUGUUCCUAGCACUGAACAACUAGCAGACCCUCUUACCAAGCCUCUUUCUCCAGCAAAAUAUGCCUCCAUCAGGGACAAACUAAAGGUGUACUCUCAUAGAGUCCCGCCUUGAGUUUGUGGGGGGUGUAAUAGAGUAUAUUGUAAAGUCUAGAUAUACUAGUUCUAUCAAGUUAGUGUAGUUAUAGAAGAAGUAACAAAUUGUGCUGAUGUGGCAAGUUUGUUACUGAUUCAUUUCAUUCCUUGCUAUACUAUAUAAGGCUAGCUCUCUGAUGUAACAAAUAUCAAUGAAUCAUAAUGAAACACUGAAAAGCUUAGAAGCAAUAUCUCUCUCAUACUUUUCUAAUAAGGCGAAAAAAGCAAAAGUAAACGCAAAGGCGGCGGCUAAGGUUUAUGUGGAAGCAAGGCCCCCUAAGAUCAAAAGCUUCGAUGCCAUGUGAAAACAUACUAUUAUAUUUCAGAGAUAAAAAAAAAUGUACAACCACUAAUAUGUUUAUAUAUAACAUAUUCUAACCUAGUUGACCUAAUUAUUGACUAACAAACCAAUUAUAAAUUACUGAUAAUAGUAUUAAAACAUCACUAUUUCAACAAUGUAUUUAUAUUAAUCACCCUAAUUUGUUUUUCUUUCUUUG